RNAcentral lists this long non-coding RNA (372 nucleotides) under Calidris pugnax (ruff). RNAcentral describes it as "lncRNA (ENSCPUG00000001780.1)". The record is from RNAcentral. Lineage: Eukaryota; Metazoa; Chordata; Aves; Charadriiformes; Scolopacidae.
UGGCAGAAGAAUUAAAAAAUAAGCUGAGCACCUGAAUGCUUGGGUGAAGGCAGUUUUAAUAAAGGAGACCUGGAACAAAGGUGAAGUUUGGUUCCUCCCCUGCCACUUCAGCAGUGAAUAGUGUUUGCCUAAGAAGCCAAAAACUCAGUCUAGAAUAAAACCCAGCGAUAUUCUAAGUUUGCUUCUGGGUUUUUGUGUUUUUUUUUUUUCUUCUUUUGUUCACUAAAACACCAUGCUCUAAUCAGUUUAAUGUUCUCUGGAUCUUCUAAAACCUCAGGUAAGCAAAAAAUGCUUUAUCACAUAUUUCUCCUUUUGCUUCUGUUACAGUAUUAAAUCUUCUUUCCCUCCUGCAGGGCUCCUGGGUAUUUCUAG